UUGUCGAUGGUGUCGGAGCUCUCGACUUCUAGGGUUAUAGUCUUGCCGGUGAGGGUCUUAACGAAGAUCUGCAUGCCACCACGGAGACGGAGGACGAGGUGAAGGGUUGAUUCCUUCUGGAUGUUGUAGUCGGCGAGGGUGCGCCCGUCCUCAAGUUGCUUUCCGGCGAAGAUGAGACGUUGCUGGUCUGGGGGGAUUCCCUCCUUGUCCUGGAUCUUGGCCUUGACGUUGUCAAUGGUGUCAGAGCUUUCGACCUCUAGGGUUAUGGUUUUGCCAGUGAGAGUCUUGACGAAGAUCUGCAUGCCACCACGGAGACGAAGGACAAGGUGAAGGGUUGACUCCUUCUGGAUGUUGUAGUCGGCGAGGGUACGGCCGUCCUCGAGCUGCUUUCCGGCGAAGAUGAGACGUUGCUGAUCCGGGGGAAUUCCUUCCUUGUCCUGGAUCUUGGCCUUGACGUUGUCGAUGGUGUCAGAGCUUUCCACCUCAAGGGUGAUGGUCUUUCCGGUGAGGGUCUUGACGAAGAUCUGCAUCUGUAGAGUCAACAAUCACAAGAUAAAUCAGAAUCAAAAUCCAUCACGUAAUUUCAAGAAGCAAUUUCGUGAAAAAAAAUCCUAAUCUAUGGCCACAGAAUCAACAAAUAAGGUAGUUGCUAAAGGACCUGAGCAAUAUCUCUUGAAAUACCAUACAGAAUCAACGAAUAAGGCUUUUAUCAACGGAUCUGAACAAUUUCUUGAAAAACGACUGAAGUAUCAACAAAUAAGGCUGUUGUUUAACGGAUCUGAAGUAGUUCAUGAAAAAAACCUUAAUCUACGACUACAGAAUCAACAAUUAAGGCUUGUUGUAAACGGAUCUGAAAAUCUUUAUGAAAAAAACUCUAAUUAGACCUAAUUUACGGUUAUAAAAUCAUCAAUUAAGGACGUUCUUGCAUUAAUAAAAGCUGAAUCUUCUGAUUAUGAAAAUUUAUAAUCGAUGAAACGAUAGAAAACACAAUCAAAUCAACAUCAUGCUGAUGUAGAACAAACAAUAAAGAAGAAGAAAAAAAAACAGAAGAAAUCUACGAACCUUGAAAGGAGAGGUAGGGAACUGCGCAAAGAGAAUGAACUAAUUUGAUUGCAAUUGAAGUGCGAUUAGGGUCGAGGGGUGUGGGGGCAUUUUAUAGCAUAUGCGGUGGAACCGUUCUCCAAUCAUAUUGUGACGCGUGCCCAUGUAUGGUGUGACUUGGUGUUUAUGACACAGAUGAUAUUUCGGGGAGUCCUUCGUAGUUGACGGUUUCGUAAUCUUGACGGAGUCAG
RNAcentral lists this long non-coding RNA (1292 nucleotides) under Glycine max (soybean). RNAcentral's name for it is "long non-coding RNA (GMAX_LNC002352)". Lineage: Eukaryota; Viridiplantae; Streptophyta; Magnoliopsida; Fabales; Fabaceae. The record is from RNAcentral.